GCGGAUAUGUCGUUGUUGUAGUACAAUAAUCAUAACUAAGAUGAAAAAAAAUUGGAUUAAGUACAUGUAAAUAGGAAACGUUUUACAGUGAAAAAAAUAAUUAUAAUUAAUUUAAUUAUAAUAAUUUUCGGAUUGGCUGACAAUAACAAUAAAUUUGACAUAAAUUUAUGUGAUGUAAACAGCAAAAUUAGGCCGUUAAUUAAAAACAUAUUUGAUUUACAUUAAAAGAAAUGUGUUAAAGUAGAAAUUCUAACGUUAUUUUAACAGUAUUUUCUGCUUGUUUCAAUGCUGAUCUAUGAUACAUUGAUCAAAGAAUAUCUCCAGCAAGAAACAGUAAUAAUCUUUACUUGUUUAUUUAUUUAUAAAGAAGAACGGCAUUAUCUCAUAUAGAGAAAGAUAAUGGUUCUUUCAAAAGAACGAAAACAAACAUAAUAAUAAAAACAAUUAGGCGGCUUAAUUACUUAAAUCUUCGAAGUAGAAACUUGCUUCAAGUUAGACCUUAUAAUUAUUUAAGAAUCGAAUUAUGCUGUAGAACCUUUAAAGAGCUGAGAAAGAUAUACGAAAGUCGUCUCCAUUAAGAAGACGAGAAAAAUUAAUAAUAAUCCUUUUAGAAGAAGAAAAAAAAAACGAAUUUUUGAGUCAGCAAAAGCGAAAACUUACUGUCCCACAGGAUUCUACAGAUUCUGAAAUAUGA
This is a long non-coding RNA of Centruroides sculpturatus (bark scorpion), 694 nucleotides long. RefSeq lists it as uncharacterized. NCBI's taxonomy places the organism in Eukaryota, Metazoa, Arthropoda, Arachnida, Scorpiones, Buthidae. The transcript has 3 exons. The record is from RefSeq and is a predicted model, not a curated record.